UACGAAGGGUGCAAGCGUUACUCGGAAUUACUGGGCGUAAAGCGUGCGCAGGCGGUUUUGUAAGUCAGAUGUGAAAUCCCCGGGCUUAACCUGGGAACUGCGUUUGAAACUACAAGGCUAGAGUGUGGCAGAGGGGGGUGGAAUUCCACGUGUAGCAGUGAAAUGCGUAGAGAUGUGGAGGAACACCGAUGGCGAAGGCAGCCCCUGGGUUAACACUGACGCUCAGGCACGAAAGCGUGGGAGCAAACAGG
This 251-nucleotide ribosomal RNA is filed under the name uncultured bacterium. RNAcentral describes it as "partial 16S ribosomal RNA". It matches the Rfam family "Bacterial small subunit ribosomal RNA", at positions 524 to 776 of the family's 1533-position model. The record is from RNAcentral.